This 482-nucleotide ribosomal RNA is filed under the name uncultured bacterium. RNAcentral describes it as "bacterial SSU rRNA". It matches the Rfam family "Bacterial small subunit ribosomal RNA", at positions 30 to 506 of the family's 1533-position model. The record is from RNAcentral.
UUGAACGCUGGCGGCAUGCUUUACACAUGCAAGUCGAACGGUAACAGGGAGCUUGCUCCGCUGACGAGUGGCGAACGGGUGAGUAAUAUAUCGGAACAUGUCCGGAAGUGGGGGAUAACGUACCGAAAGGUACGCUAAUACCGCAUAUGCCCUGAGGGGGAAAGGGGGGGAUCGCAAGACCUCUCGCUUUCGGAGUGGCCGAUAUCGGAUUAGCUAGUUGGUGAGGUAAAGGCUCACCAAGGCGACGAUCCGUAGCUGGUCUGAGAGGACGACCAGCCACACUGGAACUGAGACACGGUCCAGACUCCUACGGGAGGCAGCAGUGGGGAAUUUUGGACAAUGGGCGCAAGCCUGAUCCAGCCAUGCCGCGUGAGUGAAGAAGGCCUUCGGGUUGUAAAGCUCUUUCAGCCGGAAAGAAAACGCACAGGUUAAUACCUUGUGUGGAUGACGGUACCGGAAGAAGAAGCACCGGCUAACUACGU